RNAcentral lists this unclassified non-coding RNA (208 nucleotides) under Agrocybe firma. RNAcentral's name for it is "partial internal transcribed spacer 2". Lineage: Eukaryota; Fungi; Basidiomycota; Agaricomycetes; Agaricales; Agrocybaceae. The record is from RNAcentral.
AAUUAUCAACCUUGUUAGCUUUUGCUAAUAAUGGCUUGGACUUGGGGGUCUUGUGUAGGCUUGCAUUAGUCUGCUCCCCUUAAAGGUAUUAGCUGGUGCCCCACAGUGGACCGUCUAUUGGUGUGAUAAUUAUCUACGCCGUGGAUAUCCGCUUUCAAUGGGUUUGCACUGCUUAUAGCCGUCUGUUAACUCGGACAAUGUAAUGACA